This 480-nucleotide ribosomal RNA is filed under the name uncultured bacterium. RNAcentral describes it as "partial 16S ribosomal RNA". It matches the Rfam family "Bacterial small subunit ribosomal RNA", at positions 28 to 523 of the family's 1533-position model. The record is from RNAcentral.
GACGAACGCUGGCGGCGUGCUUAACACAUGCAAGUCGAGCGGAAAGGCCCUUUCGGGGUUACUCGAGCGGCGAACGGGUGAGUAACACGUGAGUAAUCUGCCCUGGGCUUUGGGAUAGCCCUCCGAAAGGGGGAUUAAUACCGGAUAUGAUGCAUGCUCGCAUGGGUGUGUGUGGAAAGUUUUUUCGGUUCAGGAUGUGCUCGCGGCCUAUCAGCUUGAUGGUGGGGUAAUGGCCUACCAUGGCUUCGACGGGUAGCCGGCCUGAGAGGGUGACCGGCCACGCUGGGACUGAGACGCGGCCCAGACUCCUACGGGAGGCAGCAGUGGGGAAUAUUGGACAAUGGGCGGAAGCCUGAUCCAGCAACGCCGCGUGAGGGAUGACGGCCUUCGGGUUGUAAACCUCUUUCACCCAUGACGAAGCGCGAGUGACGGUAGUGGGAGAAGAAGGACCGGCCAACUACGUGCCAGCCGCCGCCGUAA